Molecule: ribosomal RNA, 492 nt
Filed under: uncultured bacterium
Lineage: Bacteria
Description: partial 16S ribosomal RNA
Rfam family: Bacterial small subunit ribosomal RNA
Source: RNAcentral
GAUGAACGCUCGCUACAGGCUUAACACAUGCAAGUCGAGGGGAAACGACAUCGAAAGCUUGCUUUUGAUGGGCGUCGACCGGCGCACGGGUGAGCAACGCGUAUCCAACCUGCCCAUCACUUGGGAAUAACCUUGCGAAAGUAAGACUAAUACCCAAUGACAUCCCACGAAGACAUCUGAAUGGGAUUAAAGAUUUAUCGGUGAUGGAUGGGGAUGCGUCUGAUUAGCUUGUUGGCGGGGUAACGGCCCACCAAGGCAACGAUCAGUAGGGGUUCUGAGAGGAAGGUCCCCCACAUUGGAACUGAGACACGGUCCAAACUCCUACGGGAGGCAGCAGUGAGGAAUAUUGGUCAAUGGGCGAGAGCCUGAACCAGCCAAGUAGCGUGCAGGAUGACGGCCCUAUGGGUUGUAAACUGCUUUUAUAAGGGAAUAAAGUGGGUCUCGUGAGACUUUUUGCAUGUACCUUAUGAAUAAGGACCGGCUAAUUCCGUG